Molecule: ribosomal RNA, 253 nt
Filed under: uncultured Hansschlegelia sp.
Lineage: Bacteria; Pseudomonadati; Pseudomonadota; Alphaproteobacteria; Hyphomicrobiales; Methylopilaceae
Description: partial 16S ribosomal RNA
Rfam family: Bacterial small subunit ribosomal RNA
Source: RNAcentral
UACGAAGCGGGCUAGCGUUGUUCGGAAUCACUGGGCGUAAAGCGCACGUAGGCGGACACUUAAGUCAGAGGUGAAAUCCCAAGGCUCAACCUUGGAACUGCCUUUGAUACUGGGUGUCUUGAGGUCGAGAGAGGUGAGUGGAACUGCGAGUGUAGAGGUGAAAUUCGUAGAUAUUCGCAAGAACACCAGUGGCGAAGGCGGCUCACUGGCUCGAUUCUGACGCUGAGGUGCGAAAGCGUGGGGAGCAAACAGG